ACGAACGCUGGCGGCGUGCCUAAUACAUGCAAGUCGAGCGAGUCUGCCUUGAAGAUCGGAGUGCUUGCACUCUGUGAAACAAGAUACAGGCUAGCGGCGGACGGGUGAGUAACACGUGGGUAACCUGCCCAAGAGAUCGGGAUAACACCUGGAAACAGAUGCUAAUACCGGAUAACAACAGAUGAUGCCUAUCAACUGUUUAAAAGAUGGUUCUGCUAUCACUCUUGGAUGGACCUGCGGUGCAUUAGCUAGUUGGUAGGGUAACGGCCUACCAAGGCGAUGAUGCAUAGCCGAGUUGAGAGACUGAUCGGCCACAUUGGGACUGAGACACGGCCCAAACUCCUACGGGAGGCAGCAGUAGGGAAUCUUCCACAAUGGACGCAAGUCUGAUGGAGCAACGCCGCGUGAGUGAAGAAGGGUUUCGGCUCGUAAAGCUCUGUUGUUGGUGAAGAAGGACGGGGGUAGUAACUGACCUUUGUUUGACGGUAAUCAAUUAGAAAGUCACGGCUAACUAAGUG
This 518-nucleotide ribosomal RNA is filed under the name uncultured bacterium. RNAcentral's name for it is "partial 16S ribosomal RNA". It matches the Rfam family "Bacterial small subunit ribosomal RNA", at positions 29 to 507 of the family's 1533-position model. The record is from RNAcentral.